This 253-nucleotide ribosomal RNA is filed under the name uncultured bacterium. Its description in RNAcentral is "partial 16S ribosomal RNA". It matches the Rfam family "Bacterial small subunit ribosomal RNA", at positions 524 to 776 of the family's 1533-position model. The record is from RNAcentral.
UACAGAGGUGGCAAGCGUUGUUCGGAAUUAUUGGGCGUAAAGAGCUCGUAGGCGGCUCGUCGCGUCGUCCGUGAAAACCCGCGGCUUAACCGCGGGCUUGCGGUUGAUACGGGCGGGCUAGAGUUCGGUAGGGGAGACUGGAAUUCCUGGUGUAGCGGUGAAAUUCGUAGAUAUCAGGAGGAACACCAGUGGCGAAGGCGGCUUCCUGGACACUAACUGACGCUGAGACGCGAAAGCGUGGGGAGCAAACAGG